Molecule: ribosomal RNA, 253 nt
Filed under: uncultured bacterium
Lineage: Bacteria
Description: partial 16S ribosomal RNA
Rfam family: Bacterial small subunit ribosomal RNA
Source: RNAcentral
UACGAAGGGUGCAAGCGUUACUCGGAAUUACUGGGCGUAAAGCGUGCGUAGGUGGUUUGUUAAGUCUGAUGUGAAAGCCCUGGGCUCAACCUGGGAAUUGCAUUGGAUACUGGCAGGCUAGAGUGCGGUAGAGGAUGGCGGAAUUCCCGGUGUAGCAGUGAAAUGCGUAGAGAUCGGGAGGAACAUCGGUGGCGAAGGCGGUUCUCUGGGCAUGAUCUGACGCUGAGGAGCGAAAGUGUGGGGAGCGAACAGG